Molecule: ribosomal RNA, 474 nt
Filed under: uncultured bacterium
Lineage: Bacteria
Description: bacterial SSU rRNA
Rfam family: Bacterial small subunit ribosomal RNA
Source: RNAcentral
ARGGAGCUUCGGUUCCUGAGUAAAGUGGCGAACGGGUGCGUAACACGUGAGUAAUCUACCCUAGACACUGGGAUAACUUUCCGAAAGGGAGGCUAAUACCGGAUAGGUCCUUGUAACAGCAGUUAUGAGGGGAAAGCAGGCCUCUGGUUCACGCUUGUAGUUUAGGAUGAGCUUGCGGCCCAUUAGCUAGUUGGUAGGGUAAGAGCCUACCAAGGCGACGAUGGGUAGCUGGUCUGAGAGGAUGAUCAGCCACACUGGCACUGAGACACGGGCCAGACUCCUACGGGAGGCAGCAGUGGGGAAUUUUGCGCAAUGGGCGAAAGCCUGACGCAGUAACGCCGCGUGGAGGAUGAAGGCCUUCGGGUUGUAAACUCCUGUCAGGAGGAACGACGGGAUUAGGAUGAAGAAUCUUAGACUUCAGACGGUACCUCCAAAGGAAGCCCCGGCUAAUUCCGUGCCAGCAGCCGCGGUAAU